UGGGGAAUCUUGGACAAUGGGCGCAAGCCUGAUCCAGCCAUGCCGCGUGAGUGAAGAAGGCCUUAGUGUUGUAAAGCUCUUUUGCCAGGGACGAUAAUGACGGUACCUGGAGAAUAAGCCCCGGCAAACUUCGUGCCAGCAGCCGCGGUAAUACGAAGGGGGCUAGCGUUGUUCGGAUUUACUGGGCGUAAAGCGCACGUAGGCGGGUCGUUAAGUCAGGGGUGAAAUCCCGGGGCUCAACUCCGGAACUGCCUUUGAUACUGGCGACCUUGAGGCUGGAAGAGGUUAGUGGAAUUCCCAGUGUAGAGGUGAAAUUCGUAGAUAUUGGGAAGAACACCAGUGGCGAAGGCGGCUAACUGGUCCAGAUCUGCCGCUGAGGUGCGAAAGCGUGGGGAGCAAACA
RNAcentral lists this ribosomal RNA (402 nucleotides) under uncultured bacterium. Its description in RNAcentral is "bacterial SSU rRNA". It matches the Rfam family "Bacterial small subunit ribosomal RNA", at positions 355 to 774 of the family's 1533-position model. The record is from RNAcentral.